CAGCCGCCGCGGGAAUACGAAGGGGGCUAGCGUUGUUCGGAUUUACUGGGCGUAAAGGGCGCGUAGGCGGACUGAUGAGUCAGGGGUGAAAUCCCAAGGCUCAACCUUGGAACUGCCUUUGAUACUGUUUGUCUUGAGUUCGAGAGAGGUAAGUGGAACUGCGAGUGUAGAGGUGAAAUUCGUAGAUAUUCGCAAGAACACCAGUGGCGAAGGCGGCUUACUGGCUCGAAACUGACGCUGAGGCGCGAAAGCGUGGGGAGCAAACAGGAUUAGAUACCCCCGUAGUCCCUGUCUCUUAUAA
Molecule: ribosomal RNA, 301 nt
Filed under: uncultured bacterium
Lineage: Bacteria
Description: partial 16S ribosomal RNA
Rfam family: Bacterial small subunit ribosomal RNA
Source: RNAcentral